Molecule: ribosomal RNA, 497 nt
Filed under: uncultured bacterium
Lineage: Bacteria
Description: partial 16S ribosomal RNA
Rfam family: Bacterial small subunit ribosomal RNA
Source: RNAcentral
GAUGAACGCUGGCGGCGUGCCUAAUACAUGCAAGUCGAGCGAACGGACGAGAAGCUUGCUUUUCUGAUGUUAGCGGCGGACGGGUGAGUAACACGUGGAUAACCUACCUAUAAGACUGGGAUAACUUCGGGAAACCGGAGCUAAUACCGGAUAAUAUUUUGAACCGCAUGGUUCAAAAGUGAAAGACGGUCUUGCUGUCACUUAUAGAUGGAUCAGAGCUGCAUUAGCUAGUUGGUAAGGUAACGGCUUACCAAGGCAACGAUGCAUAGCCGACCUGAGAGGGUGAUCGGCCACACGGGAACUGAGACACGGUCCAGACUACUACGGGAGGCAGCAGUAGGGAAUCUUCCGCGAUGGGCGAAAGACUGACGGAGCAACGCCGCGUGAGUGAUGAAGGUCUUCGGAUCGUAAAACUCUGUUAUUAGGGAAGAACAUAUGUGUAAGUAACUGUGCACAUCUUGACGGUACCUAAUCAGAAAGCCACGGCUAACUACGUG